Molecule: ribosomal RNA, 468 nt
Filed under: uncultured bacterium
Lineage: Bacteria
Description: partial 16S ribosomal RNA
Rfam family: Bacterial small subunit ribosomal RNA
Source: RNAcentral
GACGAACGCUGGCGGCGUGCUUAACACAUGCAAGUCGAACGGAAAGGCCCUGCUUUUGUGGGGUGCUCGAGUGGCGAACGGGUGAGUAACACGUGAGUAACCUGCCCUUGACUUUGGGAUAACUUCAGGAAACUGGGGCUAAUACCGGAUAGGAGCUCCUGCUGCAUGGUGGGGGUUGGAAAGUUUCGGCGGUUGGGGAUGGACUCGCGGCUUAUCAGCUUGUUGGUGGGGUAGUGGCUUACCAAGGCUUUGACGGGUAGCCGGCCUGAGAGGGUGACCGGCCACAUUGGGACUAAGAUACGGCCCAGACUCCUACGGGAGGCAGCAGUGGGGAAUAUUGCACAAUGGGCGGAAGCCUGAUGCAGCAACGCCGCGUGCGGGAUGACGGCCCUCGGGUUGUAAACCGCUUUCGCCUGUGACGAAGCGUGAGUGACGGUAAUGGGUAAAGAAGCACCGGCUAACUACGUG